RNAcentral lists this ribosomal RNA (1087 nucleotides) under Corylomyces selenosporus. RNAcentral's name for it is "eukaryotic LSU rRNA". It matches the Rfam family "Eukaryotic large subunit ribosomal RNA", at positions 36 to 1155 of the family's 3401-position model. The record is from RNAcentral. Lineage: Eukaryota; Fungi; Ascomycota; Sordariomycetes; Sordariales; Chaetomiaceae.
UAGCAUAUCAAUAAGCGGAGGAAAAGAAACCAACAGGGAUUGCCCUAGUAACGGCGAGUGAAGCGGCAACAGCUCAAAUUUGAAAUCUGGCUUCGGCCCGAGUUGUAAUUUGUAGAGGAAGCUUUUGGUGCGGCACCUACUGAGUCCCCUGGAACGGGGCGCCAUAGAGGGUGAGAGCCCCGUAUAGUAGGACGCCUAGCCUGUGUAAAGCUCCUUCGACGAGUCGAGUAGUUUGGGAAUGCUGCUCUAAAUGGGAGGUAAAUUUCUUCUAAAGCUAAAUAUUGGCCAGAGACCGAUAGCGCACAAGUAGAGUGAUCGAAAGAUGAAAAGCACUUUGAAAAGAGGGUUAAACAGCACGUGAAAUUGUUGAAAGGGAAGCGCUUGUGACCAGACUUGCGCCGGGCGGAUCAUCCGGUGUUCUCACCGGUGCACUCCGCCCGGCUCAGGCCAGCAUCGGUUCUCGUGGGGGGAUAAAGGCCCUGGGAACGUGGCUCCUUCGGGAGUGUUAUAGCCCAGGGUGCAAUGCCCUCGUGGGGACCGAGGUUCGCGCAUCUGCAAGGAUGCUGGCGUAAUGGUCAUCAGCGACCCGUCUUGAAACACGGACCAAGGAGUCAAGGUUUUGCGCGAGUGUUUGGGUGUAAAACCCGCACGCGUAAUGAAAGUGAACGUAGGUGAGAGCUUCGGCGCAUCAUCGACCGAUCCUGAUGUAUUCGGAUGGAUUUGAGUAGGAGCGUUAAGCCUUGGACCCGAAAGAUGGUGAACUAUGCUUGGAUAGGGUGAAGCCAGAGGAAACUCUGGUGGAGGCUCGCAGCGGUUCUGACGUGCAAAUCGAUCGUCAAAUCUGAGCAUGGGGGCGAAAGACUAAUCGAACCAUCUAGUAGCUGGUUACCGCCGAAGUUUCCCUCAGGAUAGCAGUGUUGUUCUUCAGUUUUAUGAGGUAAAGCGAAUGAUUAGGGACUCGGGGGCGCUAUAUAGCCUUCAUCCAUUCUCAAACUUUAAAUAUGUAAGAAGCCCUUGUUACUUAAUUGAACGUGGGCAUUCGAAUGUACCAACACUAGUGGGCCAUUUUUGGUAAGCAGAACUGGCG